RNAcentral lists this ribosomal RNA (484 nucleotides) under uncultured bacterium. Its description in RNAcentral is "partial 16S ribosomal RNA". It matches the Rfam family "Bacterial small subunit ribosomal RNA", at positions 30 to 507 of the family's 1533-position model. The record is from RNAcentral.
AUUGAACGCUGGCGGCAGGCCUAACACAUGCAAGUCGAGCGGAUGAAGGGAGCUUGCUCCUGGAUUCAGCGGCGGACGGGUGAGUAAUGCCUAGGAAUCUGCCUGGUAGUGGGGGAUAACGUCCGGAAACGGGCGCUAAUACCGCAUACGUCCUGAGGGAGAAAGUGGGGGAUCUUCGGACCUCACGCUAUCAGAUGAGCCUAGGUCGGAUUAGCUAGUUGGUGGGGUAAAGGCCUACCAAGGCGACGAUCCGUAACUGGUCUGAGAGGAUGAUCAGUCACAAUGGAACUGAGACACGGUCCAGACUCCUACGGGAGGCAGCAGUGGGGAAUAUUGGACCAUGGGCGAAAGCCUGAUCCAGCCAUGCCGCGUGUGUGAAGAAGGUCUUCGGAUUGUAAAGCACUUUAAGUUGGGAAGAAGGGCAGUAAGUUAAUACCUUGCUGUUUUGACGUUACCAACAGAAUAAGCACCGGCUAACUUCGUG